UACGUAGGCAGCGAGCGUUGUUCGGAAUUACUGGGCGUAAAGCGUGCGCAGGCGGUUAUGCAAGACAGAUGUGAAAUCCCCGGGCUCAACCUGGGAACUGCAUUUGUGACUGCAUGGCUAGAGUACGGUAGAGGGGGAUGGAAUUCCGCGUGUAGCAGUGAAAUGCGUAGAUAUGCGGAGGAACACCGAUGGCGAAGGCAAUCCCCUGGACCUGUACUGACGCUCAUGCACGAAAGCGUGGGGAGCAAACAGG
This 253-nucleotide ribosomal RNA is filed under the name uncultured bacterium. RNAcentral describes it as "partial 16S ribosomal RNA". It matches the Rfam family "Bacterial small subunit ribosomal RNA", at positions 524 to 776 of the family's 1533-position model. The record is from RNAcentral.